UCAAGGAAAGAGUGAUAUACACGCAGUUAGAGGCCCUGAGUGUGAAUACCAGCUCUGUCACACUCCAAUGUGGGCAAGUCACAAAACAUAGUAUUCCAGAUUCUCAUCUAUGAGGCGCAGAUGACAAGAAGUACAUCACAGAAUUCCCAAGAGGAUAAAAUAAGAUAAUGCGGGUAAAAUUGCUGAAGAACUGGAAUUAUUAUUUGCAGCUCUUAACUGGGAUGUGAAAAUGCAUACUGUCUUGUCUCAAAAUUCUGGAGAUGAAACUCAAGUUCACCACCACAACUAAAGCACCAGGAGGCCUUCCAUCACUUCCUCCAGCUGUAUUACACCAGCGAGUGUGUCUGCCCACUUCUCUAGCCCCACCACUCGGAAGCAGAGGCUCCUAAAGCUCAGAAAUCGGACGAGGGAGCCUUGAGGAGGUCCUGAGUCCAGGUCUCCCCAACGAUGGCACGACUUUUUGGACAUUACGUACAACGGCUACGGCUCUGUUUUUUCAUUCAAUAAACCAAGACAAGACACUA
This is a long non-coding RNA of Panthera uncia (snow leopard), 524 nucleotides long. RefSeq lists it as uncharacterized. The record is from RefSeq and is a predicted model, not a curated record. NCBI's taxonomy places the organism in Eukaryota, Metazoa, Chordata, Mammalia, Carnivora, Felidae. The transcript has 2 exons.